UGGGGAAUUUUGGACAAUGGGGGCAACCCUGAUCCAGCAAUGCCGCGUGUGUGAAGAAGGCCUUCGGGUUGUAAAGCACUUUUGUCCGGAAAGAAAACGUCGUGGUUAAUACCCGUGGCGGCUGACGGUACCGGAAGAAUAAGCACCGGCUAACUACGUGCCAGCAGCCGCGGUAAUACGUAGGGUGCAAGCGUUAAUCGGAAUUACUGGGCGUAAAGCGUGCGCAGGCGGUCCGCUAAGACAGAUGUGAAAUCCCCGGGCUUAACCUGGGAACUGCAUUUGUGACUGGCGGGCUAGAGUAUGGCAGAGGGGGGUAGAAUUCCACGUGUAGCAGUGAAAUGCGUAGAGAUGUGGAGGAAUACCGAUGGCGAAGGCAGCCCCCUGGGCCAAUACUGACGCUCAUGCACGAAAGCGUGGGGAGCAAACAGGAUUAGAUACCCUGGUAGUCCACGCCCUAAACGAUGUCAACUAGUUGUCGGGUCUUCAUUGACUUGGUAACGUAGCUAACGCGUGAAGUUGACCGCCUGGGGAGUUUACGGUC
Molecule: ribosomal RNA, 541 nt
Filed under: uncultured bacterium
Lineage: Bacteria
Description: partial 16S ribosomal RNA
Rfam family: Bacterial small subunit ribosomal RNA
Source: RNAcentral